GUGCCAGCAGCCGCGGUAAUACGUAGGUGGCAAGCGUUAUCCGGAAUUAUUGGGCGUAAAGCGCGCGUAGGCGGUUUUUUAAGUCUGAUGUGAAAGCCCACGGCUCAACCGUGGAGGGUCAUUGGAAACUGGAAAACUUGAGUGCAGAAGAGGAAAGUGGAAUUCCAUGUGUAGCGGUGGGAUGCACAGAGAUAUGGAG
RNAcentral lists this ribosomal RNA (199 nucleotides) under uncultured Staphylococcus sp. Its description in RNAcentral is "partial 16S ribosomal RNA". It matches the Rfam family "Bacterial small subunit ribosomal RNA", at positions 505 to 703 of the family's 1533-position model. The record is from RNAcentral. Lineage: Bacteria; Bacillati; Bacillota; Bacilli; Caryophanales; Staphylococcaceae.